CGUGAGGUGGAGCGAAUCCUUUCAAAGCCGGUCUCAGUUCGGAUCGGGGUCUGCAACUCGACCCCGUGAAGUCGGAGUCGCUAGUAAUCGCAGAUCAGCAACGCUGCGGUGAAUACGUUCCCGGGCCUUGUACACACCGCCCGUCACGUCAUGAAAGUCGGUAACACCCGAAGCCGGUGGCCUAACCCCUCGUGGGAGGGAGCCGUCGAAGGUGGGAUCGGCGAUUGGGACGAAGUCGUAACAAGGUAGCCGUACCGGAAGGUGCGGCUGGAUCACCUCCUUUCUAAGGAG
Molecule: ribosomal RNA, 291 nt
Filed under: Mycolicibacterium hodleri
Lineage: Bacteria; Bacillati; Actinomycetota; Actinomycetes; Mycobacteriales; Mycobacteriaceae
Description: partial 16S ribosomal RNA
Rfam family: Bacterial small subunit ribosomal RNA
Source: RNAcentral